CGGCGUUAGAGGUGAAAUUCUUGGACCGCCGCAAGACGGACGGCUGCGAAAGCGUUUGCCAAGAAUGUUUUCGUUAAUCAAGAACGAAAGUCAGAGGUUCGAAGACGAUCAGAUACCGUCCUAGUUCUGACCGUAAACGAUGCCGACCGGCGAUCCGCGGGCGUUGUUCGAAUGACCCGGCGGGCAGCCCCCGGGAAACCGCGAGUGUGUGGGUUCCGGGGGAAGUAUGGUCGCAAGGCUGAAACUUAAAGGAAUUGACGGAAGGGCACCACCAGGAGUGGAGCCUGCGGCUCAAUUCGACUCAACGCGGGACAUCUCACGAGGCCCGAACGCCGCAGGAUUGACAGAUUGAGAGCUCUUUCUCGAUUCGGUGGGUGGUGGUGCAUGGCCGUUCUUAGUUGGUGGAGCGAUUUGUCUGGUUAAUUCCGAU
This 430-nucleotide ribosomal RNA is filed under the name Hesiolyra bergi. RNAcentral's name for it is "SSU rRNA". It matches the Rfam family "Eukaryotic small subunit ribosomal RNA", at positions 900 to 1329 of the family's 1831-position model. The record is from RNAcentral. Lineage: Eukaryota; Metazoa; Annelida; Polychaeta; Phyllodocida; Hesionidae.